This 215-nucleotide unclassified non-coding RNA is filed under the name Hevea brasiliensis (rubber tree). Lineage: Eukaryota; Viridiplantae; Streptophyta; Magnoliopsida; Malpighiales; Euphorbiaceae. The record is from RNAcentral.
AUUAAGCCUUCGCUGCUGCUUAUGCUUGUGAUGCACACUGUAAGUCUCUGUAAUACAAAAUGCAUUUUGUAAGAAAGAGCCAUUUUAAUAUCUGUUUAUAUAUACUUUCCCACUUGGUGCAUGUUCAUGUUCUUAAAUCUUAAGCAUCCUCUCUGGAUCAUCAAUUGAUUUCACUCUUUAAGCCUUCCUUCCUACACAGAGAGAGAGAGAGAGAG